UGCCAGCAGCCGCGGUAAGACGGAGGGUGCAAACGUUGUUCGGAAUCACUGGGCAUAAAGCGCACGUAGGCGGCCAAGUCAGUCUGGUGUGAAAGCCCCCGGCUCAACCGGGGAACUGCACCGGAUACUGCUUGGCUCGAGGACGGUUGGGGUGAGUGGAACUCCUGGUGGAGCGGUGAAAUGCGUAGAUAUCAGGAGGAACACCAGUGGCGAAAGCGGCUCACUGGGUCUCUUCUGACGCUGAGGCACGAAAGCUAGGGGAGCGAACGGGAUUAGAUA
RNAcentral lists this ribosomal RNA (279 nucleotides) under uncultured bacterium. Its description in RNAcentral is "partial 16S ribosomal RNA". It matches the Rfam family "Bacterial small subunit ribosomal RNA", at positions 506 to 784 of the family's 1533-position model. The record is from RNAcentral.